Drosophila navojoa is the source of this 652-nucleotide long non-coding RNA. Lineage: Eukaryota; Metazoa; Arthropoda; Insecta; Diptera; Drosophilidae. The record is from RefSeq and is a predicted model, not a curated record.
CUACGGUAGCUGUCGUUUUCAAUAUGUUCAAUAUGCUGCACUUAGCGCAUGAAAUGUCAAGGCGAAAGAAAUCGAUGGUUUGACGCCCACGUCGCACCGCCCAGCAAUUGACGCACAUCGCGGCGAAUUCCACAGUGGCAUAGCGAAUUCUAGAUAUGUGUGGCGAAUUUCACAUUUGUUUUUCUCAAUUUUAACAGCGACCCUCGUUCAGUUCACUCUCCCUCCCCCUCUCUCGCUCACACGCGCCUGGUUGGCGUGCCUCUCUGAUAAGAUUGUUGUCGAAAAAAUAACAGGCACACACACACAGUCGCAUUAACAGUCAUAUAACUAUGUGCGCAUGUAUGCAUAUGUGUGCACAUCUAUUUGGACAUUUAUGCAUACAUAUGUAUGUCUGGCUGUCUAGCUGUAGGUGUUGCUGCUGCUGCUGCUGCUCGUCGAACCACUUUUGGCAAAUGCGACAAGUUGAGCAUGGGCAUGGGCAGGGGGCAGAGCGGGGGCCACGCAAAACCAGCCAAUGGGUCUCAUGAUUUUUAUAUUUUCAAUGCGUAUUGUUGUUGUUUGUUGUUUUGCUGGUGUUUGGUGUUUGUUGUUGUGAUAAUAAAAUCGCGUCAAUUCUAAAAACUUGUUUACGCGAAAAACCAAAAACAAAAAA